GACGAACGCUGGCGGCGUGCUUAACACAUGCAAGUCGAACGGAAAGGCCCUGCUUUUGUGGGGUGCUCGAGUGGCGAACGGGUGAGUAACACGUGAGUAACCUGCCCUUGACUUUGGGAUAACUUCAGGAAACUGGGGCUAAUACCGGAUAGGAGCUCCUGCUGCAUGGUGGGGGUUGGAAAGUUUCGGCGGUUGGGGAUGGACUCGCGGCUUAUCAGCUUGUUGGUGGGGUAGUGGCUUACCAAGGCUUUGACGGGUAGCCGGCCUGAGAGGGUGACCGGCCACAUUGGGACUGAGAUGCGGCCCAGACUCCUACGGGAGGCAGAAGUGGGGAAUGUUGCACAAUGGGCGGAAGCCUGAUGCAGCAACGCCGCGUGCGGGAUGACGGCCUUCGGGUUGUAAACCGCUUUCGCCUGUGACGAAGCGUGAGUGACGGUAAUGGGUAAAGAAGCACCGGCUAACUACGUG
RNAcentral lists this ribosomal RNA (468 nucleotides) under uncultured bacterium. RNAcentral's name for it is "partial 16S ribosomal RNA". It matches the Rfam family "Bacterial small subunit ribosomal RNA", at positions 28 to 507 of the family's 1533-position model. The record is from RNAcentral.